AGUAUUUAUAUAUCCGGAGAAAGUUCUAUAGUAAAUUCUGGAGAUCUUCGUUAUUUAAAUAUCAACAUCGAUUUGUUUAUUUAUUGCUCAGCUUAUCGUAACCGACUCGAUAACAAAUCUAAUAAUGUUGCGCACAGGAAAAAAUAUUCUCAUUAUGUAUUUUCCCUACGUUAUAAUUAACUGUUACAUUUGAAUUCGAGCUGUAAAUUCAAUAUUAUCAAGUAAUUACU
Colinus virginianus (northern bobwhite) is the source of this 230-nucleotide non-coding RNA. The record is from Rfam. Lineage: Eukaryota; Metazoa; Chordata; Aves; Galliformes; Odontophoridae.